GUGCUGGAUGACCUUCGAAAAAUUAGGCCAAUAAAUUAACAUUAUCUUCAUGUGUCUUUGACCAGUACCGUAUUUGGCGAAAAAAUCAGUUCCAAUUUUUGGCCUGAUCGGCGGGCAAAAAAUAAUUCUACAAGUUCAGAGAGAGAUCAGAUAAUGUUUUGAAGAUGUGAUAUCAUCUAGAUAGACGCCAGCGCGACUUUUGGCGCAGGCGCUUAAUUUUCGGAAAUUUUUUUCACUACCGUAUAGGUUACAAGAGCGCAAUUAUUUGUUUACAUUUAACCGGCAAGUUUUUUUACCCCAAGAUGGUACUCAGAAUAGAAUCCGAUACGGCUUCUGAUUGGUUGAUACAGGAUUGGAAUUACAUUUAAUCGAAAGCUUAUCCAAUUAGGUUUAAAAAUUGCCGAAAAUCAUAUUCACAUUUUACGAAGUAUAGAAAAUAUCUUCAAUUUCUGCACGUCGGAGCCAUUAAAAAUA
RNAcentral lists this long non-coding RNA (474 nucleotides) under Mytilus galloprovincialis (Mediterranean mussel). The record is from RNAcentral. Lineage: Eukaryota; Metazoa; Mollusca; Bivalvia; Mytilida; Mytilidae.